RNAcentral lists this ribosomal RNA (301 nucleotides) under uncultured bacterium. RNAcentral describes it as "partial 16S ribosomal RNA". It matches the Rfam family "Bacterial small subunit ribosomal RNA", at positions 509 to 809 of the family's 1533-position model. The record is from RNAcentral.
CAGCAGCCGCGGGAAUACGUAGGUCCCGAGCGUUGUCCGGAAUUAUCGGGCGUAAAGCGCGCGCAGGCGGAUAGGUCAGUCUGUCUUAAAAGUUCGGGGCUUAACCCCGUGAUGGGAUGGAAACUGCCAAUCUAGAGUAUCGGAGAGGAAAGUGGAAUUCCUAGUGUAGCGGUGAAAUGCGUAGAUAUUAGGAAGAACACCAGUGGCGAAGGCGACUUUCUGGACGAAAACUGACGCUGAGGCGCGAAAGCCAGGGGAGCGAACGGGAUUAGAUACCCCAGUAGUCCCUGUCUCUUAUACA